This 468-nucleotide ribosomal RNA is filed under the name uncultured bacterium. RNAcentral describes it as "partial 16S ribosomal RNA". It matches the Rfam family "Bacterial small subunit ribosomal RNA", at positions 28 to 507 of the family's 1533-position model. The record is from RNAcentral.
GACGAACGCUGGCGGCGUGCUUAACACAUGCAAGUCGAACGGAAAGGCCCUGCUUUUGUGGGGUGCUCGAGUGGCGAACGGGUGAGUAACCCGUGAGUAACCUGCCCUUGACUUUGGGAUAACUUCAGGUAACUAGGUCUAACACCGGAUAGGAGCUCCUGCUGCAGGGAGGGGGCUGGAAAGUUUGGGCGGUCGGGGUUGGACUCGCGGCUUACCAGCUUGUUGGUGGGGUAGUGGCUUACCAAGGCUUCGACGGGUAGCCGGCCUGAGAGGGUGACCGGCCACAUUGGGACUGAGGUACGGCCCAGACGGCUACGGGAGGCAGCAGUGGGGAAUAUUGCACAAUGGGCGGAAGCCUGAUGCAGCAACGCCGCGUGCGGGAUGACGGCCUUCGGGUUGUAAACCGCUUUCGCCUGUGACGAAGCGUGAGUGACGGUAAUGGGUAAAGAAGCACCGGCUAACUACGUG